RNAcentral lists this Y RNA (107 nucleotides) under Propithecus coquereli (Coquerel's sifaka). RNAcentral describes it as "Y RNA (ENSPCOG00000000708.1)". It matches the Rfam family "Y RNA". From Rfam's summary of the family: Y RNAs are components of the Ro ribonucleoprotein particle (Ro RNP), in association with Ro60 and La proteins. The record is from Rfam by way of RNAcentral. Lineage: Eukaryota; Metazoa; Chordata; Mammalia; Primates; Indriidae.
AGCUGGUCUGAAGGUAGUGAGUUAUCUCACCUGAUUGUUCAGUCAGUUACAGAUUGAACUUUUCUACUACUUUCCCCCUUCUUACUACUGCACUUGACUAGUCUAAA